UGUGUUGUUGGGUAGGGGAGCGUUCUGUAAGCCUGUGAAGGUGGCCUGUGAGGGUUGCUGGAGGUAUCAGAAGUGCGAAUGCUGACAUAAGUAACGAUAAAGCGGGUGAAAAGCCCGCUCGCCGGAAGACCAAGGGUUCCUGUCCAACGUUAAUCGGGGCAGGGUGAGUCGACCCCUAAGGCGAGGCCGAAAGGCGUAGUCGAUGGGAAACGGGUUAAUAUUCCCGUACUUGGUGUUACUGCGAAGGGGGGACGGAGAAGGCUAUGUUGGCCGGGCGACGGUUGUCCCGGUUUAAGCGUGUAGGCUGGUUUUCCAGGCAAAUCCGGAAAAUCAAGGCUGAGGCGUGACGACGAGGCACUACGGUGCUGAAGCAACAAAUGCCCUGCUUCCAGGAAAAGCCUCUAAGCAUCAGGUAACAUCAAAUCGUACCCCAAACCGACACAGGUGGUCAGGUAGAGAAUACCAAGGCGCUUGAGAGAACUCGGGUGAAGGAACUAGGCAAAAUGGUGCCGUAACUUCGGGAGAAGGCACGCUGACACGUAGGUGAAGUGAUUUACUCAUGGAGCUGAAGUCAGUCGAAGAUACCAGCUGGCUGCAACUGUUUAUUAAAAACACAGCACUGUGCAAACACGAAAGUGGACGUAUACGGUGUGACGCCUGCCCGGUGCCGGAAGGUUAAUUGAUGGGGUCAGCGCAAGCGAAGCUCCUGAUCGAAGCCCCGGUAAACGGCGGCCGUAACUAUAACGGUCCUAAGGUAGCGAAAUUCCUUGUCGGGUAAGUUCCGACCUGCACGAAUGGCGUAAUGAUGGCCAGGCUGUCUCCACCCGAGACUCAGUGAAAUUGAACUCGCUGUGAAGAUGCAGUGUACCCGCGGCAAGACGGAAAGACCCCGUGAACCUUUACUAUAGCUUGACACUGAACAUUGAGCCUUGAUGUGUAGGAUAGGUGGGAGGCUUUGAAGUGUGG
This 966-nucleotide ribosomal RNA is filed under the name Salmonella enterica. Its description in RNAcentral is "partial 23S ribosomal RNA". It matches the Rfam family "Bacterial large subunit ribosomal RNA", at positions 1217 to 2167 of the family's 2925-position model. Lineage: Bacteria; Pseudomonadati; Pseudomonadota; Gammaproteobacteria; Enterobacterales; Enterobacteriaceae. The record is from RNAcentral. RNAcentral also lists the same sequence under 1 other name.